This 332-nucleotide ribosomal RNA is filed under the name uncultured eukaryote. Its description in RNAcentral is "partial 18S ribosomal RNA". It matches the Rfam family "Eukaryotic small subunit ribosomal RNA", at positions 592 to 976 of the family's 1831-position model. The record is from RNAcentral.
CAAUAGUGUAUAUUAAAGUUGUUGCAGUUAAAAAGCUCGUAGUUGAAUUUCGGGUCCCCGCGCUCGGCGCUUCAUUGUGCCGUCGUGGUGUCCCUCCUCGCCGUAAGGCGUCCUUUACUGUGAAAAAAUUAGAGUGUUCAAAGCAGGCAAUCGCUUGAAUACAUUAGCAUGGAAUAAUAAGAUAGGAUCUUGUCUAUUUUGUUGGUUGCGGACAACGAUAAUGAUUAAUAGGGAUAGUUGGGGGUGUCCGUAUUGAGCUGUCAGAGGUGAAAUUCUUGGAUUUGCUCAAGACGAACUACUGCGAAAGCAUUCACCAAGGAUGUUUUCAUUAA